GACACACACACACAUCAGUAAUGUGUCUUACUCUCAUCAAUACUUCCAGCGCUGGAUCAAUAUUAAGUCAUAAUGAAUACUUUAUAGAGGAGAUGCUGGUGCGCGGCGGCGGCUGCGCAGUGCCUCCACCACACCACCAGCGCAGGAAUGAAGGUUUUGUAGAAGAGUAAACCAUUCUGUGGCUUGUCACUCUCAUUAGUGAUAUUGCCAUCACCAAUCCCAUUGACUUAAAUAUUACUGGGGAUAAAGGACUGCUGGCCAGUGCGUUGUGAUGCAAAUAUGGAUAAAUGGGGUGAACAUCCAAGACUUCCACUUAUGCAUGGGUGUGUUGCCAGAUAUGUGCCAAGGUGAAGAAUUCAACUUUCUACUUGACUGAAUGUGCCGAAGAACUUUCUAAUUGUACAAUUCUACUUUCAUUAGUGGUACUCCAUGGUUGUGCCUGUACUGCAGCUCCUCUCACCGAAGAGCAGUACAGUACACCUACAACACCAGCACCCAGUGAAACAAUUGUGCUCACUUACUUUUUCAACCACAAUGAUAUUUCAUGGGAUGUAUAAGCAAAGACAAGAGUUUAGAUCGAGACUCUUUGUAUUGUAGAUCAAAAGCUUUGGAUGAAGUCACUUGUAAUGCUAUGAAGCAGCUGUAGAAUAACAGUGGAUAUUCUAGAUUUCAUCUGAUGCAGAGUUAAAUGCAUGUGACUGUUUUCACAAAUGACUCACACUUAGAGAGGAAACUUCAGAUGCUGUAGGUCGGUCUUGAAUUAAAACAUAUUAAUGAUUAUACAUUGGUUUCAAAUAAUUUUCAAUAUAUAUAGUACAAAACAAAAUUUUGUGAAUAGUAAUAAUACCAUUAGUUGCAAAUAAUUUCCAAGACUAUUUUUUAUCCAACCAGAGAUGUUUUUAGGUUAUUAAAAAAAUAUAUAUGUAUAUAUACAAUAUUUAUAAAUUUUGUUACAGUUGGUUGCAGUACUUUACUGCAGAGGAUUAAGAGACUAGUCAUUUUAUUAUUAAUUUUCCUGAUGUAUGAACUAGGUUCCCAGCUGGGGCAUAUUGCCCACUCACAGUGCAAGGAGCAGAGCCAUGUGUAAGAGGUAACAUAUGCAUGGGCUUGUCACUUAUGCUAACUGAAUGAGACAAGAUAUAUCACUUGCAUACCUGGAGUUUACCUGGAGAGAGUUCCGGGGGUCAUCGCCCCCGCGGCCCGGUCUGUGACCAGGCAUAAGGGAGAAUUUUUGAGCAUCAUUUGAGUUUUAAAGUAAACCUGUGGGAAUAUGAUUAUAUAUACUGUAUUACAGAAAUAUUAUAUUUACAAAAAAGUGCUGAACCCACAUGGGUCACUCAGCACUGCACAGUACCCAUAAACUAGCUUAAAAAAAAAAACCACUAUCACUGCCUCUUCAGAGAGAAAAAAUAGUGUACUUAAUUUACAACCUGCAAAAUGCAUGCAAAAAAGAAGCCAUAUCAAUAUUCAGAUUGCAUUAAAUCUUUUAGAAAAGAAAGUAAUUUAGGCCAGUACAUGCCAGUUCAUGUACAAAAAAAGGAAUUUCAGUGUUCGGAAUGCAGUAAAUCGUUCAUUAAAAAUAGUAAUCUGGUUCGGCAUGUAAGAGUUCAUACUGGGGAGAAACCUUUUCAGUGUACAGAAUGUGGUAAAGCAUUCAGCCAGAAAAAUACUUUAUCAAGCCACUUGACUACUCACUCAAGAGAAAAGCUUUUUCAGUGUUCAAUAUGUCACAGAUCUUAUCGCCAUAAAAAUAACUUAGUAUUUCAUAUGAGAGUUCACACAGGAGAGAAGCCAUAUCUUUGCUCAGUAUGCCAUAAGUCUUAUCCUCAGAAAAAGGUUUUAGUAAAACAUAUGAGAAUCCACACGGGAGAAAAGCCAUACGAGUGUCUCGAAUGUGGUAGAUCAUUCACCCAAAAAAUCUCUCUAGAUCUUCAUCGAACUCGUCAUACAGGAGAGAAGCCACAUCAGUGUUCACAUUGUUUUAGAUCAUUUUCUCGAAAAACUAGUCUAGGAAGACAUAUGAAACUCCAUCCUGAAAAGAAUGAUCUUACACUUCACACCCCCUGGAUUCAGCGUUCCCCAAGCGAAUUGAAACUGUUGUCCCAGCAGACAGACAGCGAGGUAUUGAUGUCAAGUCCAUCUGUGGAGAUGAUUGAUUGCUCUGGGGAGGAAGCAAAAACCGAAUCUUAUGUUCCUGACUCAACAGUCUCUGAUGAUGAUGAUCCAUUGGAUUCCAAGAUGAUUCCUAAAGGUGCCAUAAAGGUAGAAAAUCAGGAAAAUUGUAUUUAUAUUAAGGAAGAAGUUUAAAGUAAUGAUAUUUUGACAGGCUGUCGGUUUUCACGUAUCUCUUCGCCUACAAUAUAUCUUUGAUGCCAUGUUCUCUCUCUAGGAACUUUUCUUCCUUGUUGAGUUUGCUCUGUAGAUUCACAUUCAGAUAUUGUAACAACUUUUAGCGGGUAAAGAUGAUAAUCACUGAAAUAAUAUGGAAGUUGAAAAACAAGGUAGUGGAACACCAUGUGGUGCUAUACUGUAGUGAAAAUAUGAAUUUGAAAAGGGCAAUCCAUUACUCAUCCUAACAAUAGUGCUUCCAUGAGUUAAGUACAGUUGGUCUACCUCUCACAAAUUUCAUAUUUGCCUCUAAAUUAUUUAUUAUUGAAUGUAGUCUGAGUGUAAAAAGUUAUUCUAGGCAGGAAAAAUACAAGUCUUAAAAUUCAUUUAAGCAUUUGUACAUCUGUUUCACCCCAAUAAUAAGACAGUGGUAAAAAUAAUGUAUGUUGCAUACAUGAAAACCUUAAUUCUGCACCCCUGUUUGCUCUUGUUACUAGCAGUGUGUGUAUGGAUGGAUGGCUUCAAAAAAUGUAGAAUGAAACCAAGGGGAUUGUCCUUGAAUAUCCACAUGUCAAUUUAUUGACAUCAAAAUGCUCAGGAAAACCUACUUUAAUCUGCAAAAGCACUCCAACAAUUUUUAUGACAAGUGAGAGCAUUUUCAAAUAGAUGAAAACUGCACAAUCUAGGAAAGGUAAUGCCAUUAUUGUACAACUCCAGGGCCCUGUGUCUCAGCGUACACAGUUGAAAAAGUGUAGACUGCAGCAUAAGCUGAUGCUGCAGUUGAGUAGUAGUGUUGAAGAUUGGAAGGGAAUCAGAAGCAUUUGUAAGUUGUCAUUUGGAAACUAAUAUCCGAAUUUCUUCCAUAAAAAUAAUAAAUUAGGUCUACCAUAUUUUACGGUGGACAAGACGCUAUGGUACUUCAGCCUCAAAGACAAUGGGUAAAUUUUUGAGACUUAUUCUGGGGAAAAAAUGGCAUCUUUAAUGCCGUAAAAUACAGUACAAAGCCCAGAUCUAAUUGAAAUUUUUCAGAGAGACCAGAGACCAGUACAUGUCGGCCAUCACUAAUCCAGCAUCAUUGGGACCUGUAGUGUGCCGGAUUAGUGAGUUUGCCAGAUUACAGAAUAGUUAGGUUAGAAUACACUUGAUUAACCUAUCAGUAGAGAGCUUUUCUGCUUUUUCCUCCACUGGCUUGCUGCUGUGGAUUUACAACUGGCUGCACAAUUUCCAAGUCAGUAUAAUGAUGAAAUUUGAAAUUAUGCUAGCUGAAAUUAGUGCCGGAUUACUGAUGGGACCGGAUAACUGAUUGCCAGAUUAGUGAUGACCUACCUGUAUAUGUACUAAAAUACACAAGCACAUUAAGUGUGAAGCUGUUCAGAAGUUGCAUUGUUAAGUUAUCACCAUGGAAGGCUUGAAUCUAAUCAGUUUUGACACUCAAAUUAUCACAUGAAAAGUAGUAUUUCAAUAUAUUACACAAAAUUCAGCAAAAUCUGUACCUACACAGCCUAAACCCAUGAAAUGUUCCUUACAUUUCAUACAAAGAAUCAGCACAAAGUUUAAGUCUUGCCACAAGAUGCAUUUUCCAGUUAUUGCACAGAAUACAACAAAAUUUGUACCUACACAGCCUAAAUCCAUGAAACAUUCCAUUUCAUAUGUUGCAUCUGCCACUGAAGACUGAUGUCAUUCACAAUUGUUAUAUUUUAAUCAGUGCUAAACCUGUAGUGGUCAUAUAUAAACAUGUAACAGUUUAUUACCUUUGUAAUUUGUUCAGCUAUCAAAAUUUUGGGAUCCAGUCCCUGGACCUAUCAUGUACCUCUGGAAUCUUUUGACUACCACCCAAAGGAUGGGUAUGGAGUGCAUAAUAAAGAUAUUAAACUAACUAAACUCAUAUAGUCCUGGUGCAAUGAGACAUUCAAAUGCAAUCAAAGCAAAGGAAAGACAAGUCUGGUUCUUGGAUCAAGAGCCCUUCAUCAGCAUCAAGGCAAAAUAAUGCAAUAAUUUAAAACAAUUUCAAGGUUAAAGGUGACAAAAUGGCAUCAACACACUAUUAAAUAUACCAACCUCCUCCUAAGUCAGAUACACAAGUGUUGAAAUUCUGAUACCAAUCAGAGGAUCCAGUCUCCAGUUUAUCGCACGGAAACCGAAUUUGGGAGCGGCCUAUGUAACACUGUGCAUAGGGCACCCACACAUACAAACACUCCCACAAAUCUUACCCAAGGAACAUUACACAAGUGUUGAAAAUUUGAAGUGUUCAUGAAGGCAUUCUUGAGUAAUAAAAAAAAAAUUAGAGAAAGUAAACACAAAAUGUUGCUCAAGACUUUUCUUAAAAAAUAGGAAUGCCUCCCACUGCUAAAUUUAAAAAAUGCCAUAAAAAGGCAAACUUUUAUUUUUUCCAGUUUUCUUAUUUACAUACUAUUUAAAAUUCUAUACAAUCCUGCAAGAUGGUUUUAAAAAAUAGUUUGAUAAAAUCGACCUAAAAAAUAGCAAAUUUGUACCUACACAACCUAAAAUUAAUAUAAAAAUACUUCUAAUUCAAAUACACGAGCAUUAAAGGUUUGAAGCCAAUCAGAAGAGGUAUUCUCUUGUUAUUAUUAUUAUAAUAAAAAAGAAGCGCUAAGCCAAUCCUCUUGUUAUUAUAUAGGAAACAAUUUUCUUAAUAAAAUUGAUAAAUUGAAAUUUACACAGCCGAAUGUGAGUGUGAAGUCAUAUUUUAAUAAAGCCUAUCAAUAGUAAAAGUUUGAAGCCAGUCAAAAAAGGCAUUCUUCAGAAUUUUUUUUAUUCCAAUUCCAAAUUUUUGAACUCGGUAAAAUUUCAGAUUGAACCUACUCGGACUAAACUUAAGGGGCAUUCUCCUCCACAGUCUAAGGAUAUUGGUGCAGUACAAAGAAUUCAAGAAUUCCAACAGGCCCUUAGACCUGAAAAAGAGCAAAAACACCAUUCAGUCUAUCAUUCUAUAUUGUGAGAAGAGCCACACAUCUGGGGUUUAGCCAACCAAAUUAACAGACUUGGAUGUUAUUACAGUACAGUGCUUGAUUUUAGCCCCCUGACCUUGGUGGUGGAGUUUAAAUAGUUUGUACCCUGGUGAGUAGGUGCAGUUCUUCAUCAGGUGUAAGUAAAUUUAUUUAGGCACAGGUACACAUAACUACAAUUAUCAUACAUAGUGUAAAUUACCUAGGAUAACCCAAUAAAAGUCAAGUGAUUGUGGUGUGCCAUUUUCCACAGACUGCUUCACUAAGAGCCCAGCAUCUUUUUUUAGUGUGAAUAAUGGGAAUUUCUCCCCAUUGCCUAAAUUUGAUGUGACUUCUGACCAAUGGAACACACUAUGAAUAUAAUUUGUGGAAUGUGAAUAAUUUACUUCAGAUUGUUUUGCUUAUUUUGUGAUGAUGUUUUCUGUAAUAUGCCAUAAAUUAGUGAUAAUAGCAAGUUAGUAACAAUAGCAGUUAGAGUGAUAAGGAUGUAUACAACUGUUUAUAGUGAAAGCAUUGAAAACAUAUAACUUGACUGGGACUAGCCUAUAAAUACUGUAAGUAUAUCUGUGAGUUCUUUACCUGCCGUUGUAGAUAUAACUAAAUGUAAACUUUCGUCAGCAGUUAUUUUCUCACCCUGCAGAAUAUAAACUUGAAUGUGAAAAACAAAAGAAUUUAGGUACAGUUUAUUCAGAGAUGUGUAAGUGUCCAAAUACUGUUCAGAAUGUCAUCCAUAAUGACCUAGAAAAAUAUACAGUACUAGCUAAACAUACCAAUUUCACAUAUUUUAAAAACUGCAUCCCAUCACCACUAAUGUGCUUACCCAGUUCCUCUACCAAUUAUGUACAGUCUUUCAACUACUCUCCGCAGAAUAGGUAUGGGAUACUCAGUAAAAUGAUUAAAUCUUCCUAAUCUGAAAUUCUUUACGAAUACUGGUAGAUUGCCACUUACAAAUAUGAAAAUAAUCUAUAUUAGAUUUAUUUGUAUGGUGUGAUACUUUUAAAUCUUAACUAGUAGCUGAAUCCUUCUAUUGCUAGUUUAUGUAUUUUUUGUUUAUAAUUAUGGUACUGUACAAGAUUUUUGUAUGAAUAUUUAGUCUGUUGUAAUAAGUAAGAUCACUGUUGCUAUGGAAGAUUUCUGAGACUUUGUAAGUUCAUCUGUGAAUUGUCUUAUUUGUAUAUAAUGUAUUAAUAAGUAAAGCUACUAAUGAAA
Cherax quadricarinatus is the source of this 6503-nucleotide long non-coding RNA. RefSeq lists it as uncharacterized. The record is from RefSeq and is a predicted model, not a curated record. NCBI's taxonomy places the organism in Eukaryota, Metazoa, Arthropoda, Malacostraca, Decapoda, Parastacidae.